GCGCUCACUUUGACAGCACGUACACUAAAAGUGGAAUGAUAUAGAGAAGAUUAGCAUAGCCCCUGUGUAAGGAUGACAAACAAAUACAUCUAGCAUUCCAUAUUUAA
Molecule: non-coding RNA, 107 nt
Organism: Erinaceus europaeus (western European hedgehog)
Lineage: Eukaryota; Metazoa; Chordata; Mammalia; Eulipotyphla; Erinaceidae
Source: Rfam